ACCUGCCCCAAACCCACCUAUGGGGAGGGUCAGACCCCAAACCCACCCCAAACCCACAUAUGGGGGGGGUCAGACCCCAAACCCGCCCCAAACCCACAUAUGGGGGGGGUCAGACCCCAAACCCACUCCAAACUUACACCUGGGGGGCGUCAGACCCCAAACCAAACCCAGACCCACUCCAAAUCCACACCUUGGGGGGGUCAGACCCCAGACCCCACAGCAUACCCCAAACCCAAACCUUUUUUUGGGGGGGUAGGGGGGAGGAAAGGAAAGGGGGUGGGAGGGGAGGUGGUUGAUAGGACAUUCCCCUUUACAUUUACUCCUUUUUGUACACGUUUUGCUUUGGGGUUUUCCUUUUGGAGCUGUAAUGUGGGGUCGGGGGGGGGGGGACACGGGAGGGUUUUGUACACAUAAUGUCAUGCUGGGGGGGCCCCUCACCCCCCAUCCCACUAUGGGGCAGCAGCUGUGCCCCACAUACCCACCAUCACCCCCAUCCCAUAUAUCUCUUGCGUUCCUCUUUGUACCGGGCCGCGUUCCUUGCCCCAUAGUGGCACCUAUAUGAAUAAACACCUCAAUAUUCA
Molecule: non-coding RNA, 581 nt
Organism: Coturnix japonica (Japanese quail)
Lineage: Eukaryota; Metazoa; Chordata; Aves; Galliformes; Phasianidae
Source: RefSeq, a predicted model, not a curated record